GAAUCACUGGGCUUAAAGAGCACGUAGGCGGACUGCCAAGCGUCUUGUGAAAUCCCCCGGCUCAACCGGGAAUUGCUGGGCGAACUGGUAGUCUUGAGGCAAGUAGGGGCAGAUGGAACUCUUGGUGGACCGGUGGAAUGCGUAGAUAUCAAGAGGAACGCCAGAGGCGAAGGCGAUCUGCUGGGCUUGACCUGACGCUGAGGUGCGAAAGCCAGGGGAGCAAACGGGAUUAGAUACCCCGGUAGUCCUGGCCAUAAACGAUGUCCACUAGAUCGGUGAACUUCUGACAGUGUGCCGGUCGAAACAAAAGCGUUAAGUGGACCGCCUGGGGAGUACGGUCGCAAGGCUAAAACUCAAAGGAAUUGACGGGGGCUCACACAAGCGGUGGAGCAUGUUGCUUAAUUCGAUGCAACGCGAAGAACCUUAUCCUGGGCUUGACAUGCUUGGAUGCCCAUCUGGAAACAGAGUAGGCUGCCCUUCGGGGUGAAACUUGCACAGGUGCUGCAUGGCUGUCGUCAGCUCGUGUCGUGAGAUGUUGGGUUAAGUCCCGUAACGAGCGAAACCCUUGUCGUUAGUUGCCAGCGCGUAAUGGCGGGGACUCUAGCGAGACUGCCGGCGUUAAACCGGAGGAAGGUGGGGAUGACGUCAAGUCCUCAUGGCCUUUAUGCCCAGGGCUGCAAACGUGCUACAAUGGCGAGGACAAACCGACGCAAAGCCGCGAGGUCGAGCAAAUCGGAGAAACCUUGCCCCAGUUCGGAUUGGAGUCUGCAACUCGACUCCAUGAAGUCGGAAUCGCUAGUAAUCGCGUAUCAGCGUGGCGCGGUGAAUAUGUUCCUGAGCAUUGUACACACCGCCCGUCAAGUCAUGGAAGCUGGGAGCGCCCGAAGUCGGGGUA
This 895-nucleotide ribosomal RNA is filed under the name uncultured organism. RNAcentral's name for it is "bacterial SSU rRNA". It matches the Rfam family "Bacterial small subunit ribosomal RNA", at positions 548 to 1434 of the family's 1533-position model. The record is from RNAcentral.